GGAAAAUAGAAUAGUCAACCAUGGGAAGUGGGACCUUCACCCUUAGUUCACCAUUUGCAUUUUUCUCAAGGAAGAAAUUGGAUCUACUUGGCUCUGCUUACUAAGCCUGUCGUGGUGCCAGUGGUCACUCUGGGACCUGAAGAUGCAAGAGCAGAACAUUGCCCUGAUGGGACAUCAGAUGGCAAGUUAAAGACAGUUCAUUUUGAUGCCUCUGAUUCUCUCUAAUCUAAACAAUCCAAAUCUGCUUCAGAGGACAGGUCUCCUUCCUGAUUUAAACACAACUUCCAGGAAACAUGUAGCCUGUAUAUCACCUGCAGAAAUAUCCUAGGGAUUCAGAGAGGCACUUCCCACUGAUCUCACAUAUUUGCUAGUUGGAUAUGAAGUACAAUGCUCUGAUGAUACUAUGCAGCGGCAGUAAGCCAAGACUGCCAGUCAACAAUGUGAUCACUGGAGGAACAAUUGAUUCUCAUCAGACUGAACAUUUGGUGCUGAUGUUUCCUAAUGCCACCAAAAUGAUACCACAAAAGCCCAGAAGGCUGAUGCACUCUGAUGGAAUUUUCCAUUUCACCUAGGGAAAGAAAAAAAAUGUAAGAAGCAAUAUCUUUGUCUAGGCUGAAAGUGUGGGCCUGAGAUAAGGUGGUAUCCCAUAUCACAGUUCUAUCUUUCUGCUUCCAUCAUUUUAACACUGAAAAUGUAAAAGUUUAUGAAGAAACAUUAUUAAAUGACUUUAGCCAGAAA
Peromyscus eremicus (cactus mouse) is the source of this 738-nucleotide long non-coding RNA. RefSeq lists it as uncharacterized. The transcript is spliced from 3 exons. Lineage: Eukaryota; Metazoa; Chordata; Mammalia; Rodentia; Cricetidae. The record is from RefSeq and is a predicted model, not a curated record.